AGAGAGAGACAUGCGCGCAUAUCAAUAAGCGGAGGAAAAGAAACUAACAAGGAUUCCCUUAGUAACGGCGAGUGAAGCGGGAAGAGCUCAAAUUUGAAAUCUUCAAGGUUUUACCUUGACGAAUUGUAGUUUAAAGAAGUGUUUUCCUGCUGAAGUUUUGGUAAAAGUUCUUUGGAAUAGGACAUCAUAGAGGGUGAGAAUCCCGUAUUUGACCAUUAUUUUCAGCUUUGUGAUACACUUUCAAAGAGUCGGAUUGUUUGGGAAUGCAGUCCAAAAUGGGUGGUAAAUUUCAUCUAAAGCUAAAUAUUGGCGAGAGACCGAUAGCGAACAAGUACCGUGAGGGAAAGAUGAAAAGAACUUUGAAAAGAGAGUUAAACAGUACGUGAAAUUGUCAAAAGGGAAGCGUUUGACACCAGUGUUGUUUUCUCGAAAAUCAAUUAAAAAAGGCAGGAUUUUGUGUUGUAUUGACUUUAUCAGCUUUCUCUGCACUCUUUUCUUGUCUUUUUUAAUGCACUUUUCGUUUAACAAGUCAACAUCAGUUUCUUUUGUUGUAAAAGGGUCAUUGGAAGGUGGCUUUCUUUUCGGAGAAAGUGUUUAUAGCCUUUGGCCUCUGCAAUCGAAGAGACUGAGGUCUGCAGCGUAGACUCUUCGGGGUUAGAUACAUUUGUGCUAAGUUAUAGCUUUUUAUAGACAACUUGUUGACUAUAAUUAGUCUUGUAGCUUACUCGCUUAUGCUAUUUUACCUACGCUUAGGAUGUUGAGUCGUAGAGCACGCAG
RNAcentral lists this ribosomal RNA (777 nucleotides) under uncultured Neocallimastigales. RNAcentral's name for it is "partial large subunit ribosomal RNA". It matches the Rfam family "Eukaryotic large subunit ribosomal RNA", at positions 23 to 634 of the family's 3401-position model. The record is from RNAcentral. Lineage: Eukaryota; Fungi; Neocallimastigomycota; Neocallimastigomycetes; Neocallimastigales.